Long non-coding RNA from Haliotis rubra (blacklip abalone), 741 nucleotides. RefSeq lists it as uncharacterized. The transcript is spliced from 4 exons. NCBI's taxonomy places the organism in Eukaryota, Metazoa, Mollusca, Gastropoda, Lepetellida, Haliotidae. The record is from RefSeq and is a predicted model, not a curated record.
UAUUGCUCUCUAUAUAGAGGCUAUCAAGACACCUAGAUGUGUUGUUUUGCUCUUGUAUUGAAGCUAUCAAGACACUUGAAUGCGUGGCAUUGUUCUUUAUACAGAAGCUAUCAAAACAGCUGAAUGCGUGGCAUUGCUCUUUAUAUUGAGGCUAUGAACACACCUAGAUGUGUCGCGUUGCUCUUUAUAUUGAAGCUAUCAAGACACCUGAAUGCUUGGCAUUGCUCUUUAUAUUGAAGCUAUCAAGACACCAAGAUGUGUUGCUUUGCUGUUUACACAGAAGGUAUCAAGAACCUGAAUGUGUGAUAUUCUGUAUACAGAAGGUAUCAAGACACCUGAAUGUGUGGUAUUCUGUAUACAGAAGGUAUCAAGACACCUGAAUGUGUGGUAUUCUGUAUACAGAAGGUAUCAAGACACCUGAAUGUGUGGUAUUCUGUAUACAGAAGGUAUCAAGACACCUGAAUGUGUGGUAUUCUGUAUACAGAAGGUAUCAAGACACCUGAAUGUGUGGUAUUCUGUAUACAGAAGGUAUCAAGACACCUGAAUGUGUGGUAUUCUGUAUACAGAAGGUAUCAAGACACCUGAAUGUGUGGUAUUCUGUAUACAGAAGGUAUCAAGACACCUGAAUGUGUGGUAUUGUUCUGUAUACAGAAGGUAUCAAGGCACCUGAAUGUGUGGUAUUCUGUAUACAAAAGGUAUCAAGACACCUGAAUAUGUGGUAUUGUUCUGUAUACAGUGGGU